RNAcentral lists this ribosomal RNA (376 nucleotides) under uncultured Legionella sp. Its description in RNAcentral is "partial 16S ribosomal RNA". It matches the Rfam family "Bacterial small subunit ribosomal RNA", at positions 283 to 651 of the family's 1533-position model. Lineage: Bacteria; Pseudomonadati; Pseudomonadota; Gammaproteobacteria; Legionellales; Legionellaceae. The record is from RNAcentral.
GUAGCUGGUCUGAGAGGAUGACCAGCCACACUGGAACUGAGACACGGUCCAGACUCCUACGGGAGGCAGCAGUGGGGAAUAUUGGACAAUGGGGGCAACCCUGAUCCAGCAAUGCCGCGUGUGUGAAGAAGGCCUGAGGGUUGUAAAGCACUUUCAGUGGGGAGGAGGGUUGRUAGGUUAAGAGCUARCUAACUGGACGUUACCCACAGAAGAAGCACCGGCUAACUCCGUGCCAGCAGCCGCGGUAAUACGGAGGGUGCRAGCGUUAAUCGGAAUUACUGGGCGUAAAGGGUGCGUAGGUGGUUKAUUAAGUUAUCUGUGAAAUCCCUGGGCUYAACCUGGGCMGGUCAGAUAAUACUGAUKRACUCGAGUAUGG